Molecule: ribosomal RNA, 440 nt
Filed under: uncultured bacterium
Lineage: Bacteria
Description: partial 16S ribosomal RNA
Rfam family: Bacterial small subunit ribosomal RNA
Source: RNAcentral
CCUACGGGAGGCAGCAGUGGGGGAUAUUGCACAAUGGGGGAAACCCUGAUGCAGCGACGCCGCGUGGGUGAAGAAGCGCCUCGGCGCGUAAAGCCCUGUCAGCAGGGAAGACAAUGACGGUACCUGAAGAAGAAGCCACGGCUAACUACGUGCCAGCAGCCGCGGUAAUACGUAGGGGGCAAGCGUUAUCCGGAUGUACUGGGUGUAAAGGGGGCGCAGACGGCGAUGCAAGCCAGGAGUGAAAGCCCGGGGCCCAACCCCGGGACUGCUCUUGGAACUGCGUGGCUAGAGUGCAGGAGGGGCAGGCGGAAUUCCUGGUGUAGCGGUGAAAUGCGUAGAUAUCAGGAGGAACACCGGUGGCGAAGGCGGCCUGCUGGACUGCAACUGACGUUGAGGCCCGAAAGCGUGGGGAGCAAACAGGAUUAGAUACCCCAGUAGUC